RNAcentral lists this small RNA (636 nucleotides) under Pongo abelii (Sumatran orangutan). Its description in RNAcentral is "retained intron". Lineage: Eukaryota; Metazoa; Chordata; Mammalia; Primates; Hominidae. The record is from RNAcentral.
ACUUUCCGCGGCUUUGACGAGCCCGCAGCGGCCGGACCCGAGCGCUGAGCCGGGCCGAGACUGCACCAUGCAGGAAGCGCCAGCCGCGCUGCCCACGGAGCCAGGCCCCAGCCCCGUGCCUGCCUUCCUCGGCAAGCUAUGGGCGCUGGUGGGGGACCCAGGCACAGACCACCUGAUCCGCUGGAGCCCGAGCGGGACCAGUUUCCUCGUAAGCGACCAGAGCCGCUUCGCCAAGGAAGUGCUGCCCCAGUAUUUCAAGCAUAGCAACAUGGCGAGCUUCGUGCGCCAACUCAACAUGUACGGUUUUCGGAAGGUGGUGAGCAUCGAGCAGGGCGGCCUGCUUAGGCCGGAGCGCGACCACGUCGAGUUCCAGCACCCGAGCUUCGUGCGCGGCCGCGAGCAGCUACUGGAGCGCGUGCGGCGCAAGGUGCCCGCGCUGCGCGGCGACGACAGCCGCUGGCGCCCGGAGGACCUGGGUCGACUACUGGGCGAGGUGCAGGCUUUGCGGGGAGUGCAGGAGAGCACCGAGGCGCGGCUGCGGGAGCUCAGGCAGUGCGGGGGCGGGCGGGGAAAGAGGGGACAGGGGUGGGGGGUUCGGGAUGAGACCAUAACUGGCCAGCCGGCAGUUCUGGGCAG